RNAcentral lists this unclassified non-coding RNA (710 nucleotides) under Hevea brasiliensis (rubber tree). The record is from RNAcentral. Lineage: Eukaryota; Viridiplantae; Streptophyta; Magnoliopsida; Malpighiales; Euphorbiaceae.
AAACGACAUGCAUACCCAAAUCGAGUAAGGUUUUCUUUCAAUUUCUGUAUAAUUUUCUUCUCUUUUUAUCCAUCCUCUCAAUUGUUAUUUUUUUCUUUUUAUUUGUUUCCCUUUAUAUUUUUCAAGUAUCGACGUCGACCUGUAUCCUACCUGUUCCUGCCAUUACCUUACAAAAUUUAAAAUUUUAGCUCUUUUCGUUUCUAAGUGCUUUGUUGUUAUCUGAUGAUGCCUAAUCGGUGGACGUGUUUGGUGUUCUAUAAUUUUAGGUAUUCCUUCUAUUUUCUUGUUUGUUAUAAUUCUUGUCAAUAACAUUACCAUAUUCUUCAAGCUUAAAUCUCUCACAAUGAAAAAAUUUAGAAAUACAAAUAAAAUUUAUAAAAGAAUGAUAUGAAUGCAUCAAUAGGAUUGAGAGCGACUUCUGGAAUCAGAUGAAUAACUAAUUUCAUCAACCAGAUAAAGCUAUAUGUUCAUUUUGGCAUAUGGGUUCUUGUAUGAUGAAGCCCCUUUGAAAUACGAAGAUAUUUUAUAAGCUUGCUCAUAUGGCAUCUCCUAAUAUGUUUAAAUCUAUGCAAUUGAUGUUUUCCUACGUCUGUCAGCCAUAUAUUUUGUGAUGUUAAUAGGCUGCAGUAUUUUGGUUUACACCAUACUUUAAUUUUAGCAGCGAGUAUUAUAAUUAGCUUGGAUUGGAAAUAGUUGAAAUUCUCAUUAAG